Rhipicephalus sanguineus (brown dog tick) is the source of this 252-nucleotide long non-coding RNA. RefSeq lists it as uncharacterized. The record is from RefSeq and is a predicted model, not a curated record. The transcript has 3 exons. NCBI's taxonomy places the organism in Eukaryota, Metazoa, Arthropoda, Arachnida, Ixodida, Ixodidae.
UUCAGGAUUUUAUGGACGGCCGUGGACUACUGAACAACGCAAAGACCUUUUUCAGAGAAUGAAGAAGUUGGGCCUGAACACCUAUAUGUACGCACCGAAAGACGACGUCAAGCACAGAGCAUAUUGGAGAGAGCUUUACACGGUGGAGGAAGCCGAGCACCUGACAAACCUUAUCCAGGCAGUAGGGAAAACUCAGUCAACUUCUACUAUGCCCUAUCACCUGGUCUAGACAUCACAUAUUCUAGUUCAAAA